CUGUAGUUUUUGGUGAUCCAAAGAAAAGAGGUGGAAUUCAUGUCAUUCUACACGUCGAUCUUGAUGUUGUUGAACGGGGCAUUCUGGUUUGUCUUUGGCUUACUUAGACAAGACUUUUUUAUUGUUCUAUUAAAUGGAGUUGGCUGUGGAGUGGGAGCAGCACAAAUAUACCUGAUGUAUCCAAAUAACAAAGGCAAAACUGUGAAGCAAAAGAAAACUAUAGAAGGGGAAACCAGGAAUCAAAAGAAUAAAAACAAAGGAGGAGAAAAUAAAACCAAGAUUGCAUGAUUUAUUUAAAGCUUAAUUUUGAAGCUAUUGGGAGGCCACGCGCGGUAUAUGUCUGUGAAAUUUGGCUUCAAAAAUAGUGCCCAUAGUUAUUUUUUUAUUUAUGUAUGUUUUAUGGGUCUCAAAAACUGGUGUACCAUAACCGCUUCACUCUAGUACUUAUAAUUUUUUUUUUUUGGUUAUUAUGCUUACGGUAGUAUUUAGGGUAGAAAAACAUUUUGCCCCCUCAACUAUGUCGUUUUUUCAUUGCUAUGCAAACAAAAUACUUUUCCA
Non-coding RNA from Erythranthe guttata (spotted monkey flower), 558 nucleotides. The record is from RefSeq and is a predicted model, not a curated record. Lineage: Eukaryota; Viridiplantae; Streptophyta; Magnoliopsida; Lamiales; Phrymaceae.